This 944-nucleotide ribosomal RNA is filed under the name Mucor irregularis. RNAcentral describes it as "eukaryotic LSU rRNA". It matches the Rfam family "Eukaryotic large subunit ribosomal RNA", at positions 81 to 933 of the family's 3401-position model. Lineage: Eukaryota; Fungi; Mucoromycota; Mucoromycetes; Mucorales; Mucoraceae. The record is from RNAcentral.
UAGUAACGGCGAGUGAAGAGGAAAGAGCUCAAAGUUGGAACCUGUUUGGCUUAGCUAAACCGGAUUGUAAACUGUAGAAGUGUUUUCCAGACACGCCUGGUAAAAAAGUCCUUUGGAACAGGGCAUCAUAGAGGGUGAGAAUCCCGUCAUUGGCCAGAGCUGUUGUCUUUUGUGAUACAUUUUCAAAGAGUCAGGUUGUUUGGGAAUGCAGCCUAAAUUGGGUGGUAAAUCUCACCUAAAGCUAAAUAUUUGCGAGAGACCGAUAGCGAACAAGUACCGUGAGGGAAAGAUGAAAAGAACUUUGAAAAGAGAGUUAAACAGUAUGUGAAAUUGUUAAAAGGGAACCGUUUGGAGCCAGACUGGCUUGAUCGUAAUCACUCUAGGCUUUGGCCUGGAUGCACUUGCGGUCUAUGCCGGCCAACGACAGUUUUGUUUGAGGGAAAAAAUUACAUUGAAUGUGGCCCCUCGGGGUGUUAUAGCUUUGUAAAAAAUACCUUGGACGGGACUGAGGAACGCAGCGAAUGCCUUUAGGCGAGAUUGCUGGGUGCUUGCGCUGAUACAUGCUAGAAUUUCUGCUUUGGGUGGUGCUAGUGUGUAAAGGAGUAACCCGCUUAGUAUAUUUUUUAUUCGCUUAGGUUGUUGGCUUAAUGACUCUAAAUGACCCGUCUUGAAACACGGACCAAGGAGUCCACCAUUAGUGCAAGUAUUUGGGUGACAAACCCAUAUGCGCAAGGAAACUGAUUGAUACGAAGGCGCAAGCUGGCAGUAUCACCCGGCGUUGACGUUUUAUACUGAACUGACCGAGGUAAAGCACUAAUGAUGGGACCCGAAAGAUGGUGAACUAUGCCUGAAUAGGGUGAAGCCGGAGGAAACUCCGGUGGAGGCUCGUAGCGAUUCUGACGUGCAAAUCGAUCGUCAAAUUUGGGUAUAGGGGCGAAAGACUA